GGUUAUAACUUAGUGGUAGAGCAUAUGUUUUGCAUGCAAAAGGUUUCGGGUUCAAUUCCCAGCUAGAACUG
Molecule: non-coding RNA, 71 nt
Organism: Podarcis lilfordi (Lilford's wall lizard)
Lineage: Eukaryota; Metazoa; Chordata; Lepidosauria; Squamata; Lacertidae
Source: the annotation of a GenBank genome assembly